AACGAACGCUGGCGGCAUGCCUAACACAUGCAAGUCGAACGAGACCUUCGGGUCUAGUGGCGCACGGGUGCGUAACGCGUGGGAACCUGCCCUUAGGUUCGGAAUAACUCCCCGACAGGGGUGCUAAUACCGGAUAAUGUCUUCGGACCAAAGAUUUAUCGCCUUUGGAUGGGCCCGCGUUGGAUUAGCUAGUUGGUAGGGUAAAAGCCUACCAAGGCGACGAUCCAUAGCUGGUCUGAGAGGAUGAGCAGCCACACUGGGACUGAGACACGGCCCAGACUCCUGCGGGAGGCAGCAGUGGGGAAUAUUGGACAAUGGGCGAAAGCCUGAUCCAGCAAUGCCGCGUGAGUGAUGAAGGCCUGAGGGUUGUAAAGCUCGUUUACCCGGGAUGAUAAUGACAGUACCGGGAGAAUAAGCUCCGGCUAACUCCGUG
This 433-nucleotide ribosomal RNA is filed under the name uncultured bacterium. RNAcentral's name for it is "partial 16S ribosomal RNA". It matches the Rfam family "Bacterial small subunit ribosomal RNA", at positions 29 to 507 of the family's 1533-position model. The record is from RNAcentral.